AUGAAUAAGCCAACCAUUUGCCAUAUCUGCAUUAUGAAUUGCACAUUGCCCCUGCAGGUUAAAAAUGCCAUGUUAGCAGGAGCCAUAGGAAUCAUCCUGUACUCAGAUCCAGCUGACUACUUUGCUCCUGAGGUACAGCCAUAUCCCAAAGGAUGGAAUCUUCCUGGAACUGCAGCCCAGAGAGGAAAUGUGUUAAAUUUGAAUGGUGCUGGUGACCCACUCACUCCAGGCUAUCCAGCAAAAGAAUACACUUUCAGACUUGAUGUUGAAGAAGGAGUGGGAAUCCCCAAAAUACCUGUACAUCCCAUUGGAUAUAAUGAUGCAGAAAUAUUAUUACGCCACUUGGGAGGAAUGGCUCCACCAGAUGAGAGCUGGAAGGGAGCCUCAAUGUGAGUUAUAGUAUCGGACCUGGCUUUACAGGGAUAAUUCUUCCAGGUAAUUUUGCAUUACUUUAAUAGUCCUGAAAAAGUUUUAUAUUUUUACUGGAAACAUGUCAAGAUAACUGUUCUGCCAGGGAUAAUUUGCUUAUCUCUUUUUCUCUUUUUUAUUACUAAACAAUUAACAAUUUUACAUUACUUAAGAAGUACUUACAAAAUGAAAUAUGGGAUUCUUUCACUAGUAAUAUCACAAUAUUAGUUUCAUAGAAUCUCAAAAAUUACUACAUUUGAAUUCUAAGUUUUAACAUUUCAAAGAUUUUUCAAAAUUCUCUCUUCACCUAAUUUUUAAAAUCGUUUUUCAAAUGACUUUCAAAGUGAUAUACAUGUGAAAAACUAGGUGAAGGUGCUGGGUGUGGUGGCUCACGCCUGUAAUCCCAGCAUUUGGGAGGCGAGGCAGGCGGAUCACCUGAGGUUGGGAGUUUGAGACCGGCCUGGCCAACAUGAAGAAACCCCUUUCUACUAAAAAUACAAAAAUCAGCCAGGCGUGGUUGUACAUGCCUGUAAUCCCAGCUACUUGGGAGGCUGAGGCAGGAGAAUCGCUUGAACCCGGGAGGUGAAGGUUGCGGUGAGCCGAGAUGCGCCAUUGCACUGAGACUGGGCAACAAGACUGAAACUCCAUCUCAAAAAAAAAAAAAAAAAACCUAGGUGAACUUAAGGGAGAAGGAAAGAUGAAGAGAGAAGGGAACCAACAUUUAUAGAUCACUUACUGUGUGUGUUAAAUGAGUUCAAAUGGAUAAAUCACAUAGCUACUAUAAGGCUCAAUAGAAUUAAUAUUACAAUUAUUAUUGUUAUAAAACAUGAUAACACUCUUCUAGAAGAGAUGUGAUCACAAAUUGCGUGUUUAUUGAGCUUAGUCUUACAGAAAGAGUGAAAGUUUACCACUGGGUCAAGGCAGGCAAGAAAUGCCAACUAGAGAAAUCAGCUUGUACAGUUGUUGAACAGCAUGGCAUGAUCAGAACUUCAAGAAGUUUGAUUUGCCUGAAAUGUGAUGGGAGAGAAAAAUGUAAUACUGAUAAAUCAGAGUGCAUAUAACUGUUUUUAUUAACCAAAAGUAUUGAAUCAGUCUUGUUUGCUAACAUUUACCCUUAACUAUGUGAAUUUGGAUUCUCAGAAUAUUUUUUAGUUUCUGUAAGAUUUCUUUAUUCCAGAAAUUUUAAAGUAUUAGAAGUCCAAUUUCCUUGUUUUAAAAUAAGUUUAUAAAUGUUUGAUUUAUAUUGUGUUAUCUCUAUAAUUCAAUCAGAACAGUGUUCUUUUAAUUUAAGAGACUAUUAUCUUAUUUGGCUUAUACCCUCCAGAGAAAGGAAAACAUAACUUAUUCAAUGAAAGGUAAAGCCCUUUCUGAUUUAUAAGCAGAAACAUAUAGACAGAGAAAACAUAUAACUUCAAUUCUACACUUUUAGUAACAAUUAAAGAGUAAACUCAAAAACAUAAACAUUCCUAGGUCUAGAUAUAAAAUAGCCGUGCUCCUUCAGUGUGAGCACAGAAUUCUCUAUUGGUUAGAACUCAAAGUGGACAAAUACACAAACAACAACAACAAAACUAAAAGCUAGAUUCUCUCAUGUCUCACCUCACAGAGAUCUCGAUAAUCCAUUUACAGAUAUUAUCAAAUGACAAGACAUAAAGGCAAACUCCAGAUCAUUGCUGCCACCAAUGAGGAAUAACUUAAUCUGCCCUGAGCAAUGCGGAAACAUAAAACACAACAUCAGUAGAGAAAAAAUAAAGCUAGGGAUACAGAGUAUCAGCAAAGUUAAAUUUCUUCUGUUGCUUAGAAUUUACAUGUGAGAGCCAAAAGAAGAUAUGAAUUGGUUUAAGCUGCCCAUACCUGGUUCUGCAAAAUGAAUCCAUUGUACCUCAAAGUGGAACCUCCAAAAAUCUUCCACAGUGAGGAAAGGAACACAAACAUUCACUAGACAGAUUGUGCAUUUCAGUGGAAUUGAAUUAUUUGCAUUACUUUCAUAUUUCUACAAGUUAACUUCUUUCUCUACAGAGCUGUAAAAUAGUCUAGUUAAGAACACUGACAGGUAAAGGUGACCAUAAUGAAUGGAUGAGCCGAAGUUUUUCCCAAUUUUUCCUUACAGGAUAUAUUCAUUAUUUCCACAAUAUUUCUUGAGCAUUUCCUAUGCCCCGGGCACCAUUCUGGGUUCUGGUGAUUCUGCAGUGAACAAAGCAGGCAAAAAAUCUCCUCCCUGUGGAGACUCCAUUCUGGAGUUCAGUUUAGGAAACGUGAUAAAGUAAUAAUGGGCAAAAUAUAUAUUCUUCUGGAGCUCAAAUCUAAAAACGAGAAAGACAUAGGUUUAAGAUGGAGAUGUGCUUCUUUGAGAAUCUUAGCAGAUAGCCUAUGUUUUUGUUUAGACUAAUAUCAAUUUUUUUCAUUCCUCAUAUGUUGCAUUUUUCUUUACUUGAUUUUUUCUGUUAAUGACACAAUACCAAUGAAUUUAGGUUUCUUACUAAUCAUAUAUUUAAGGCCCAUAUUUUUAGAAACACAUGCUAAACAUAUUUCUUCUUUUCUGCUAUUAAUUUUCAUCUGUCAGUAGCAAAAGAAAUCAUUUACUUAAUGCCUUAAAAUGAAAAAAAAAAUACCCAUCGAUUAGUUUUCCUCUGAGGUAAUCUUAGUUAUAUUGCGAAUGGAUUAAAUAUCAGAAGCACAGUAUACUUUUGGUGGGGGUGGGGGAAGCCAGAAUUUGUUCUUAACAAUAUACAAGUUUCAGGGUCUUAUUCGUUCUUCCAUCACAAACUAGAAACAACUACGUUCC
RNAcentral lists this long non-coding RNA (3190 nucleotides) under Cercocebus atys (sooty mangabey). RNAcentral's name for it is "lncRNA (ENSCATG00000045617.1)". Lineage: Eukaryota; Metazoa; Chordata; Mammalia; Primates; Cercopithecidae. The record is from RNAcentral.